This 253-nucleotide ribosomal RNA is filed under the name uncultured bacterium. RNAcentral describes it as "partial 16S ribosomal RNA". It matches the Rfam family "Bacterial small subunit ribosomal RNA", at positions 524 to 776 of the family's 1533-position model. The record is from RNAcentral.
CACGUAGGGCGCAAGCGUUGUCCGGAAUUACUGGGCGUAAAGGGCGCGUAGGCGGCCCCUUUUGUCGCGUGUGAAAGCCCCGGGCUCAACCUGGGAACGGCGCGCGAAACGGGGGGGCUUGAGUUCGGGAGAGGAGAGUGGAAUUCCCAGUGUAGAGGUGAAAUUCGUAGAUAUUGGGAAGAACACCGGUGGCGAAGGCGGCUCUCUGGACCGAGACUGACGCUGAGGAGCGAAAGCCAGGGGAGCAAACGGG